AUACGUAGGGGGCGAGCGUUAUCCGGAAUUACUGGGUGUAAAGGGUGCGUAGGCGGUAUGGCAAGUCAGUUGUGAAACCCCCUGGCUCAACCAGGGGCUUGCAAUUGAAACUGUCAUACUAGAGUGCAGGAGAGGAAAGCGGAAUUCCUAGUGUAGCGGUGAAAUGCGUAGAUAUUAGGAAGAACACCAGUGGCGAAGGCGGCUUUCUGGACUGUAACAGACGCUGAGGCACGAAAGCGUGGGGAGCGAACAGGAUUAGAUACCCUGGUAGUCCACGCCGUAAACGAUGAGUGCUAGGUGUUGGGGUCUAAUUAGAUCUCGGUGCUGAAGUUAACGCAUUAAGCACUCCACCUGGGGAGUACGAUCGCAAGAUUGAA
Molecule: ribosomal RNA, 377 nt
Filed under: uncultured bacterium
Lineage: Bacteria
Description: bacterial SSU rRNA
Rfam family: Bacterial small subunit ribosomal RNA
Source: RNAcentral